Molecule: transfer RNA, 72 nt
Filed under: Plethodon cinereus (red-backed salamander)
Lineage: Eukaryota; Metazoa; Chordata; Amphibia; Caudata; Plethodontidae
Description: tRNA-Pro
Rfam family: tRNA
About the family: Transfer RNA (tRNA) molecules are approximately 80 nucleotides in length. Their secondary structure includes four short double-helical elements and three loops (D, anti-codon, and T loops).
Source: RNAcentral
CGAGCGAUAGUUUAGUUUCUAGAAUUUUGGCCUUGGGUGUCAGAGACAAAAGUGAAAAUCUUUUUUGCUUGA